Molecule: ribosomal RNA, 1331 nt
Filed under: uncultured bacterium
Lineage: Bacteria
Description: partial 16S ribosomal RNA
Rfam family: Bacterial small subunit ribosomal RNA
Source: RNAcentral
GGUGAACGCUGGCGGCGUGCCUAAGACAUGCAAGUCGUGCGGGCCGUGGGUUAUCUCACGGUCAGCGGCGGACGGGUGAGUAACGCGUGGGUGACCUACCCGGAAGAGGGGGACAACCUGGGGAAACCCAGGCUAAUCCCCCAUGUGGACGCAUCCUUUGGGGUGUGUUUAAAGGGUUUUACCCGCUUCCGGAUGGGCCCGCGUCCCAUCAGCUAGUUGGUGGGGUAAGAGCCCACCAAGGCGACGACGGGUAGCCGGUCUGAGAGGAUGGCCGGCCACAGUGGGACUGAGACACGGCCCGCACCCCUACGGGGGGCAGCAGUGGGGAAUAUUGGGCAAUGGCCGAAAGGCUGACCCAGCAACGCCGCGUGGUGGAUGAAGCCCUUCGGGGUGUAAACACCUUUUCUGGGGGAAGAUAAUGACGGUACCCCAGGAGAAAGCCACGGCUAACUGCGUGCCAGCAGCCGCGGUAAUACGCAGGUGGCGAGCGUUGCCCGGAAUUACUGGGCGUAAAGGGUGCGUAGGCGGCCGGACAAGUCGUAGGUUAAAGCCCGGGGCUCAACCCCGGAAAGGCCUACGAUACUGUCUGGCUUGAGGGCUGGAGAGGCUGGCGGAAUUCCCGGUGUAGGGGUGAAAUCCGUAGAUAUCGGGAGGAACACCGGAGGGGAAGCCGGCCAGCUGGACAGCUCCUGACGCUGAGGCACGAAAGCGUGGGGAGCAAACCGGAUUAGAUACCCGGGUAGUCCACGCCGUAAACGAUGCGCGCUAGGUCUCUGGGUUAUCUGGGGGCCGAAGCCAACGCGUUAAGCGCGCCGCCUGGGGAGUACGGCCGCAAGGCUGAAACUCAAAGGAAUUGACGGGGGCCCGCACAAGCGGUGGAGCAUGUGGUUUAAUUCGAAGCAACGCGAAGAACCUUACCAGGCCUUGACAUGCUAGGGAACCUGGGUGAAAGCCUGGGGUGCCCCGCGAGGGGAGCCCUAGCACAGGUGCUGCAUGGCCGUCGUCAGCUCGUGUCGUGAGAUGUUGGGUUAAGUCCCGCAACGAGCGCAACCCCUGCCGUUAGUUGCCAGCGGGUGAAGCCGGGCACUCUAACGGGACUGCCUGCGAAAGCAGGAGGAAGGCGGGGACGACGUCUGGUCAUCAUGGCCCUUAAGGCCUGGGCGACACACGUGCCACAAUGCCCACUACAGAGCGAGGCGACCUGGCAACAGGGAGCGAAUCGCAAAAAGGUGGGCGUAGUUCGGAUUGGGGUCUGCAACCCGACCCCAUGAAGCCGGAAUCGCUAGUAAUCGCGGAUCAGCCAUGCCGCGGUGAAUACGUUCCCGGGCCUU